UACGGGGGGGGCAAGCGUUGUUCGGAAUUACUGGGCGUAAAGGGCUCGUAGGUGGCCAACUAAGUCAGACGUGAAAUCCCUCGGCUUAACCGGGGAACUGCGCAUGAUACUGGAUGGCUUGAGUUUGGGAGAGGGAUGCGGAAUUCCAGGUGUAGCGGUGAAAUGCGUAGAUAUCUGGAGGAACACCGGUGGCGAAGGCGGCAUCCUGGACCAACACUGACACUGAGGAGCGAAAGCCAGGGGAGCAAAGCGGG
RNAcentral lists this ribosomal RNA (254 nucleotides) under uncultured bacterium. RNAcentral describes it as "partial 16S ribosomal RNA". It matches the Rfam family "Bacterial small subunit ribosomal RNA", at positions 524 to 777 of the family's 1533-position model. The record is from RNAcentral.